CAAUCUAAUGAAGGCAGCAGGCGCGCAAUUACCCAAUCCUAAUUAAGGGAGGUAGAGACAAGAAGUAGCAAUGUGGAAUAUUAUUUUAUUCUGCAAUUGGAAUGAGCCUAUUGUAAGUAUGUAAGUGAGAAGCCAUUGGAGGGCAAGUCUGGUGCCAGCAGCCGCGGUAAUUCCAGCUCCAAUAGCGUAUAUUAAAUUUGUUGCAGUUAAAAAGCUCGUAGUUGUAUACCUUUUUAUCUAGGCGUUUCGGUAAGCACUGUAAUCGCUGGAUGGUUUUGGAACGCGGAACGUAUCUGAGCUUUAUUGCUAAGUUAUGCUUAUGCGCGUGCUUUACUUUGAGGAAAUUAGAGUGUUCCAAGCAGACAUGGUUUGAAUACAAUAGCAUGGGAUAAUAGAGUGUAUCUUAAUAUUUGGCUUUACGGCCUCCAUAUUUUGAUGAGUUUCGAAAGGGAUGUCUGGGGACAUUCGUAUUAAGCUGUCAGAGGUGAAAUUCUUAGAUUUUCUUAAGACGAACAAAUGCGAAAGCAUCUGUCAAGGAUGUUUUCAUUGAUCAAGAACGAGAGUUAGGGGAUCGAAGACGAUUAGAUACCGUCCUAGUCUUAACAGUAAACUAUGCCUUCUAGGGGUUGGAAGUCGUUUACUUGCGCUUUCAGUCCCUUACGAGAAAUCAAAGUUGUUGGGUUCUGGGGGGAGUAUGGUCGCAAGACUGAAACUUAAAGGAAUUGACGGAAGGGCACCACCAGGAGUGGAGCCUGCGGCUUAAUUUGACUCAACACGGGGAAUCUUACUAGGUCCAGACAAUGGGAGGAUUGACAGUUUGAGGGCGCUUUCUUGAUUCUUUGGGUGGUGGUGCAUGGCCGUUCUUAGUUGGUGGAGUGAUUUGUCUGGUUAAUUCCGUUAACGAACGAGACCUUAACUAUCUAAAUAGGACUCAGAAAUAUUUUUCUUUGUGCUUCUUAGAAGGACUGUAUGUUUGAGCGUAAUGAAGUGUAAGGCAAUAACAGGUCUGUGAUGCCCUUAGAUGAUCUAGGCUGCACGCGCGCUACAAUGGUACUUUCAACGUGUUCUUCUUUGGAAAAUGUGGGAAAUCCUUUGAAAUCGUAUCGUGUUUGGGAUAGACUAUUGUAAUUUUUGGUCUUGAACGAGGAAUUCCUAGUAAGUGCGAGUCAUAAGCUCGUAUUGAUUACGUCCCUGCCCUUUGUACACACCGCCCGUCGCUCCUACCGAUUGAGUUAUCCGGUGAAUAAUUUGGAUCAGUGGUAAACUACGUAUGUGCUACCCGAUAGAUGAAGUUUGGAAAACCCUUUUGUUA
This 1312-nucleotide ribosomal RNA is filed under the name uncultured marine eukaryote. Its description in RNAcentral is "SSU rRNA". It matches the Rfam family "Eukaryotic small subunit ribosomal RNA", at positions 411 to 1774 of the family's 1831-position model. The record is from RNAcentral.